GACGAACGCUGGCGGCGCGCCUAACACAUGCAAGUCGAACGAGCGAGAGAGAGCUUGCUUUCUCGAGCGAGUGGCGAACGGGUGAGUAACGCGUGAGGAACCUGCCUCAAAGAGGGGGACAACAGUUGGAAACGACUGCUAAUACCGCAUAAGCCCACGACCCGGCAUCGGGUAGAGGGAAAAGGAGCAAUCCGCUUUGAGAUGGCCUCGCGUCCGAUUAGCUAGUUGGUGAGGUAACGGCCCACCAAGGCGACGAUCGGUAGCCGGACUGAGAGGUUGAACGGACACAUUGGGACUGAGACACGGCCCAGACUCCUACGGGAGGCAGCAGUGGGGAAUAUUGCACAAUGGGGGAAACCCUGAUGCAGCGACGCCGCGUGGAGGAAGAAGGUCUUCGGAUUGUAAACUCCUGUUGUUGAGGAAGAUAAUGACGGUACUCAACAAGGAAGUGACGGCUAACUACGUG
Molecule: ribosomal RNA, 466 nt
Filed under: uncultured bacterium
Lineage: Bacteria
Description: partial 16S ribosomal RNA
Rfam family: Bacterial small subunit ribosomal RNA
Source: RNAcentral